CUCUCCCUGUUCGGGUGGUGCUCGGCGCACGGCGUCGCCGGCCUACUAGCCAUCACCGAUCCUUUUUUCCUUUUCCGUUUGUUUUGUCUUUGGUUCUUUCACACCUGGUUUCAUUUGCUUUAAUUUCUGUGUGUAUAAUUACCCCUGUUGCCUGCUAAGGUUUGUGCGACAUUAUUCGUGUCAUGUUUCUUGUCGAGGUUGUGCCUUGUUUAUUUUCACGUUUUAUACCGAGUGUGUAUCAGUUUAAGGAGCGUUGUUUUCCUCCUUCCAAAUGCUACUCGGAACAUCUCUGCUUUCCUGCGCUUGACUCCUUCACCUACCUCUAAACACAGUCUCGUAACAACCGUGUCAUUUUAAGAGAAGAGAAGACAUCACUUGGCGCAGAGUCAGCAGAGUCCACACCGCUGUUCAACCCGACUUGCUUACCUCAAUUAUUCACAUCUUAUGAAUAACGCACAUUACCAGAGAUGGCGACAGGGAUAUUUUU
This is a long non-coding RNA of Oncorhynchus tshawytscha (Chinook salmon), 487 nucleotides long. Lineage: Eukaryota; Metazoa; Chordata; Actinopteri; Salmoniformes; Salmonidae. The record is from Ensembl.